This 281-nucleotide ribosomal RNA is filed under the name Ruminococcus sp. AM42-11. RNAcentral describes it as "partial 16S ribosomal RNA". It matches the Rfam family "Bacterial small subunit ribosomal RNA", at positions 1259 to 1533 of the family's 1533-position model. The record is from RNAcentral. Lineage: Bacteria; Bacillati; Bacillota; Clostridia; Eubacteriales; Oscillospiraceae.
GAGGGUGGGCAAAUCUCAAAAAUAACGUCCCAGUUCGGACUGCAGUCUGCAACUCGACUGCACGAGCUGGAAUCGCUAGUAAUCGCGGAUCAGAAUGCCGCGGUGAAUACGUUCCCGGGUCUUGUACACACCGCCCGUCACACCAUGGGAGUCAGUAACGCCCGAAGUCAGUGACCUAACUGCAAAGAAGGAGCUGCCGAAGGCGGGACCGAUGACUGGGGUGAAGUCGUAACAAGGUAGCCGUAUCGGAAGGUGCGGCUGGAUCACCUCCUUCUAAGGAA